GCCCCUGCUCAGUUCCUGGGGCUCCUGCUGCUCUGCCUCCCAGGUGUCAGAUGUGAUAUCAUGAUUACCCAGUCUCCAUCCUCCUUGCCUGUGUCUCGUGGAGACAGAGUCACCAUCACCUGCAGGGCCAGUCAGGGCAUUAGCAAUCAUUUACACUGGUAUCAGCAGAAACCAG
Long non-coding RNA from Marmota flaviventris (yellow-bellied marmot), 175 nucleotides. RefSeq lists it as uncharacterized. NCBI's taxonomy places the organism in Eukaryota, Metazoa, Chordata, Mammalia, Rodentia, Sciuridae. The record is from RefSeq and is a predicted model, not a curated record.